CGGACUACCGGGUAUCUAAUCCUGUUUGCUCCCCACGCUUUCGUGCCUCAGCGUCAAUAAAGGCCCAGCUGGCUGCCUUCGCAAUCGGUGUUCUGCGACAUAUCUAAGCAUUUCACCGCUACAUGUCGCAUUCCGCCAGCCUCAACCUAAUUCAAGUCCUACAGUAUCAAUCGCAAUUGCAUGGGUUGAGCCCAGCGAUUUCACGACUGACUUAUUGGGCCGCCUACGCACCCUUUAAACCCAGUGAUUCCGGAUAACGCUUGCACCCUCCGUAUUACCGCGGCUGCUGGCACU
Molecule: unclassified non-coding RNA, 294 nt
Filed under: uncultured fungus
Lineage: Eukaryota; Fungi
Description: sequence contains ITS1
Source: RNAcentral